RNAcentral lists this small RNA (422 nucleotides) under Arabidopsis thaliana (thale cress). Its description in RNAcentral is "ATSL038650". Lineage: Eukaryota; Viridiplantae; Streptophyta; Magnoliopsida; Brassicales; Brassicaceae. The record is from RNAcentral.
ACAAUUUUUGGUUUUGAAUCGUAUAACAAGGAAGCACUACUUUACUCUUCGGGAUCUCGUUAAGGUUCUAGUUUUAUAUUCAAUCAUACACAUGACAUCUACUCAUAUUUCACUCCGAAAUGCUAACCCAGAUUCUUCUUGCUCUUCAAAGCUUUGAUGGUGUAUCCUAAGUCCGUAUGAUUUUUGGUUUUGAAUCUUCUAACAAGGAAAUAUAAAUUUAGGUUCAUAGCCCUGGUUGUGGUUUUAGCCUUAAAACUCAAUCAUCCACCUAUCAUCUUGAGAUAUUUGAUUCCAAAACGCUUACAAAGAUUGUGCUUACUUUUUAAAGUAUAUUUGCUCCUCAACACUAAACCUAAAACCUUAACCCCUAAACAUAAAUCCUACACCCUAAACUAAAAAUCCAAAACCUUAAAACUUAAACC